CGGGCGGCCGCCGCCGCCUCCUCGCGAGCGCCGCGCGCCCAGGUCCCGCUCGCAUGCAAGUCACGUCCGCCCCCUCGGCGCGGCCGCCCCGAGACGCCGGCCCCGCUGAGUGAUGAGAACAGACGUCAAACUGCCUUAUGAAUAUUGAUGCGGAGGCUAGGCUGCUUUCGUAGAGAAGCAGAAGGAAGCAAGAUGGCUGCCCUUUAGGAUUUGUUAGAAAGGAGACCCGACUGCAACUGCUGGAUUGCUGCAAGGCUGAGGGACGAGAACGAGGCUGGCAAACAUUCAGCAGCACACCCUCUCAAGAUUGUUUACUUGCCUUUGCUCCUGUUGAGUUACAACGCUUGGAAGCAGGAGAUGGGCUCAGCAGCAGCCAAUAGGACAUGAUCCAGGAAGAGCAGUAAGGGACUGAGCUGCUGAAUUCAACUAGAGGGCAGCCUUGUGGAUGGCCCCGAAGCAAGCCUGAUGGAACAGGAUAGAACCAACCAUGUUGAGGGCAACAGACUAAGUCCAUUCCUGAUACCAUCACCUCCCAUUUGCCAGACAGAACCUCUGGCUACAAAGCUCCAGAAUGGAAGCCCACUGCCUGAGAGAGCUCAUCCAGAAGUAAAUGGAGACACCAAGUGGCAGUCUUUCAAAAGUUAUUAUGGAAUACCCUGUAUGAAGGGAAACCAGAAUAGUCGUGUGAGUCCUGACUUUACACAAGAAAGUAGAGGGUAUUCCAAGUGUUUGCAAAAUGGAGGAAUAAAACGCACAGUUAGUGAACCUUCUCUCUCUG
This 778-nucleotide long non-coding RNA is filed under the name Pan troglodytes (chimpanzee). RNAcentral describes it as "long non-coding RNA NONPTRT012638". The record is from RNAcentral. Lineage: Eukaryota; Metazoa; Chordata; Mammalia; Primates; Hominidae.